AUGAUGAAAGUAAAUGUUGACGCUGCUACUAGGCGGAGAUCAAGCUGCGGUGUGGUUGAUGCAGUAUGUAAGAACAGGGAGGGAGUAUAUCUGGGAGCGUCAACAAUUGUGUUCAAAGGUAUUUCUGACCUAGCAACUCUAGAAGCGUUGGCAGUCCGGGAAUCAAUGGCACUAGCUCAGGACCUCCAUCUGCAGGCGAUUCAUGUUGCAACUGAUUGCAAGGGCAUUGUAGAGGAUAUCAGUCAAAAGAACAGUCAUAGCUAUGGUGCUAUUAUACAUGAGAUCAUAGAUUACUCUCGUAGUUUUCAGUCAUGCAAUUUUGUGCAUGAAUUUAGGAGCUCGAAUUUUGAGGCUCAUAAUCUAGCGAAGCAUGCUUUGAAACUAGGGGUCGGCCGCCAUGUCUGGUUAGGCAACCCUGGUGAACUUCAGUUCGUCCCUGUAAAUGCUGUGACGAUUUAA
This 459-nucleotide ribosomal RNA is filed under the name Triticum aestivum (bread wheat). Its description in RNAcentral is "partial small subunit ribosomal RNA". Lineage: Eukaryota; Viridiplantae; Streptophyta; Magnoliopsida; Poales; Poaceae. The record is from RNAcentral.